GGAGCCAAACACUAAAUAAUUGAAAUUCCUGAGCGCUUGUGUGGAGAGACACGAUGUUCUUUGCUGUGUGCAGGAAAGGUUAAUAAACACUGGUGACAUUGGGCAGCUGCUGAGGACUCGCAGCGAGCAGGGACACUUCCCAGAAGGCUACCUGCGCUCGAGCUUGUGCCCGAGACCAGCAUACCUUGAAGGCUUGGUUCUUCCUGUCCCUGCCCUCAGUCUGCUAGCUCCGGAAGAUGCACCAAAGGCACCGGAGGGACACAGAGGACAUGCUAGACCUUCUAAGUCAGGCUGGGCAAUCUCAGCCCUACACCCCUACUGGCACCACAGGAGGAAGGGUGCAGCCUCUCUGCUUUUCCUUAAGGUGAAGAAGCAGGACGAGAUGAUGUCCCCUGCCCCAGACCCGCUUCCAGACACCUGCUCCCUAGGAUGGAGCCAUUUGAGAUGGAACCUCGGGGCUAUCUGUGCCGCACUCCCCGUGAGGGACAUCAUGUGAUGGCAGCCACAGGCAGCCAUCAGAGUCCACGCCACCACGCUUCCCGUCCAGACAGAAUAAACACAUCCUUGCCUUAGAGACAAAGACUUCCUCCUCUGGGCGGAGCCACCUUCUGCUUCUAGCUGCAGCCGUCAUGUGGGCCCCUGCAGACAACUUGAUGACGUCCUCAGAGCCUUGCUGACCAGAGAAUGAAUCUUCCCUGGAUCUUGCACCAUGAGCAGCCACGUCCUGGGCACAGCUACACAGAGCCGGGUAGAAAAGGCAACCACUCAAGAUACUGAACCUCAUUGGGCCAGCCUUGGAGAUCUGCAAAGAUGGAAGAUGUGGUGCUAGUUACCAGUGCUGGACAGCAAGCCACCCCAAACUUAGUGACUCAGAUCAGCCAAUUUACUCCCACACUGGGAACUUGGACAGCGUGAAGUCUGUGCUCCUCUCAGUAGGCUGGGGACACUCAGCUGCUGAGGCUGGUCUCACCUAGAGGUGUCUUCCUCACCUGCCUGCUGGGCUGUUUGUUCAUGCAGCCCUGGUGCACAUGGUCUCCUUGUGUGGCCUGAUCUUCCUGGCGAGGCAGUUUCCGGUCCUGGAACUUCUUAUAUGGUAGCUCCAGGCUCCAAAGCUGAGUGUCCCCAUGUACCCUAGCAAUGUACUCCAGUCUUUUCUGACCCGGCUCAGAGGUGCAUGAUGUGACUUCUGCCACCAUCCACUGGGGACACAGACACAAGUGCACCCGGAUUUAAGGGCAGAGGAACAGACCCAUCUUCUCAAUGGCAGGAGUGUCAGAGAAUCAGUAGGCUUGUUUUGAACCUAAUGGCAAAGAGGAAAGAAGGCAGUGAGUGUGAUUCUGAUGAGGAUGGGG
Molecule: long non-coding RNA, 1352 nt
Filed under: Heterocephalus glaber (naked mole-rat)
Lineage: Eukaryota; Metazoa; Chordata; Mammalia; Rodentia; Bathyergidae
Description: lncRNA (ENSHGLG00000035735.1)
Source: RNAcentral